GACGAACGCUGGCGGCGUGCUUAACACAUGCAAGUCGAACGGAAAGGCCCUGCUUGCAGGGUACUCGAGUGGCGAACGGGUGAGUAACACGUGGGUGAUCUGCCCUGCACUUCGGGAUAAGCCUGGGAAACUGGGUCUAAUACCGGAUAGGAGCCAUUUUUAGUGUGAUGGUUGGAAAGUUUUUUCGGUGUAGGAUGAGCUCGCGGCCUAUCAGCUUGUUGGUGGGGUAAUGGCCUACCAAGGCGGCGACGGGUAGCCGGCCUGAGAGGGUGGACGGCCACAUUGGGACUGAGAUACGGCCCAGACUCCUACGGGAGGCAGCAGUGGGGAAUAUUGCACAAUGGGUGCAAGCCUGAUGCAGCGACGCCGCGUGGGGGAUGACGGCCUUCGGGUUGUAAACUCCUUUCGCUAGGGACGAAGCUUUUGUGACGGUACCUAGAUAAGAAGCACCGGCUAACUACGUG
RNAcentral lists this ribosomal RNA (464 nucleotides) under uncultured bacterium. RNAcentral's name for it is "partial 16S ribosomal RNA". It matches the Rfam family "Bacterial small subunit ribosomal RNA", at positions 28 to 507 of the family's 1533-position model. The record is from RNAcentral.